CAAUAGCGUAUAUUAAAGUUGUUGCAGUUAAAAAGCUCGUAGUUGGACCUUGGACCUGGACAGGCGGUCCGCCUCACGGCGUGUACUGUCUUGCUGGGUCUUUCCUCUUGGUGAUCUGUUUUUUCGGCAGCAGGGAACCAGGACUUUUACUUUGAAAAAAUUAGAGUGUUCAAAGCAGGCUCGACGCCGGAAUAUAUUAGCAUGGAAUAAUAAAAUAGGACGUGCGGUUCUAUUUUGUUGGUUUUUGGAAUCGCCGUAAUGAUUAAUAGGGACAGUCGGGGGCAUUAGUACUCACAUGCUAGAGGUGAAAUUCUUGGAUUUUGUGAAGACUAACUUCUGCGAAAGCAUUUGCCAAGGAUGUUUUCAUUAA
This 370-nucleotide ribosomal RNA is filed under the name uncultured eukaryote. RNAcentral's name for it is "partial 18S ribosomal RNA". It matches the Rfam family "Eukaryotic small subunit ribosomal RNA", at positions 592 to 976 of the family's 1831-position model. The record is from RNAcentral.